AUUACUUGAGUUAUAUGAUCCCAUGAUCAUUUACUUGAUCAAUAAAAAUACAGACGACAAAAAGAAAAAUACAAAAUCAGUCCAUUGCUCCAUAAAUCUGCUUUCAAAUACCUCAAUGUUUACAAUUUUUGAACUGCAAUAUCAUUCUUAGAAACAUUAUUUGAAUUAAAUUUUCUUCUAAUAUAAUUCUUCUAUUCAGCCUAUUCUAUACCCAACCCAACUAACCCAACAAAUCCGUUUUCUAAUACCCUUUCAAUUGGAGGCUUGUUGAUGGGAAAACAACUUCAUCUAUGAAACAUAAACUAUAAUUUAAAACACAAGACACAAAUCGUUCAACAACAAUGAUUAACUUAUGUUAUUCUUAAAUUUCUUGAAAUUUCUUUAUGCUAGCGACACAUUACACACAGUCAACAAUGAAUAAAGAAAAAUAUCAGUUAGAGAUCAACACCUCUUAAAAGAGUAAUUUACAAGAUGUUACCAAGGAAAAAUCGAUCUUGACAUUGAUAAAAUGUUAUUUGACUUAUAGGAAGGACCUCCAUUGCCCCUCCCAUUUCUGCUAUCGUCCAACAACCUUGACAACUUUGGCACGGACUUGACUUCUCCUUGCUUCAUGAUAUGAAAUAAGACCAUAACCAUACAUCAUCUGAACAUCAAAAAACCAUCAAAUAUUUUACCUCAUGUGGUCUGGAAAGGGUGUUAGGAGAUGUGUUUAUCGGGGUAAUUGGGUCAGGUAGAAGCAUUAUACUUAAAAAAAAAAUUCAUUAGGAAAAAAAUUAUAUCCACAUAGGUGUCAUGUAGUCGUCACAUAAGAUAAUAAGGGUAUUCUACUUUAAUGCAUAUCACUAUAUCAGCUAGUUUGUCAAUUAAAUUAUAUUCACAAAAGACCUUGGAGUCUUUGUAUCUUAACAGUUGGGAUAAUAAUCAAUGAAGCGAAAGGUAGAAAAUCAUAGCAUUAAAGCAAAAUAAAAUCAGUAUCAUGGAUAGGUCUAUAGAAGUCCAAUACUUCAGGCUUCAGCCUAUAAUUAUUGGAGGCAAAGUAUAUCAAGAACCAAAUUCACUUGCUAAAUCAGUGCCAGCUAUUUCUUGAUCAUAAUUCCAUCUUUGUUUCAACAAUCAGAUUAAAGAAUGAUUUCAAAGUAAUUAAAAUGUCUCAUGUAGAGCUUAGACUUGCCAAUGUCACUUCUGGAGCUAUUAAUGCACUGCAAGUUGAACCAUAAACAAUGGCAUCAUUAGAAUCUUCUUGUGAAAACAAGACAGGUCAUACUAAUUAACUUGAAGGAUGAACAUCCUCCAUUGCAAACUAUAGUAGUUAACAGGUGUGAAAUUAACACUUACAUCUUGGAAUGGUUGUGUGGACACUGCAAGCAUCAGAACCUACACUGCUUGUAGUGAAUACAGGAGCUGUAGCUGCCUUUACAACAACAGUUUCAUGUUGAAUGGUGUGUGGACCCAUGACAGUAUCUACAGCUCCGUGUGCACAAUACAUCCAGUACAAAAUUAAGUCCAUCCCUGUAGAACAUAAUAAUCACUUCUUUAAGUAUCUUUGCACAACAAAAUAUGAUUAAAGAAUUGGUUUAAGUUUUCUACACACUGAAGACAUGAGAGUUAACAAUCUAAAAGCAAAUAUGUGCCCUAAAAGCAAUCGAUGAUCAGCAUAUGCUAGUAUAAAUAUACAAGAUUGUAACUUCUUAGCAUAUUAUAGAGCAGGAAAAGACAGUUAUGUUAAAAAUGAUAUAUAUACGUCUUAUGUUGCCUAUCAUGAUUUGUGCUAAUUAAAGACUUUAGAUCUUAGAAUUGAUUCUAUCAUUAUUUAAGUAAGCGAUCAUCAAAUAUCAUUGUUAAAUUAAUAAAUUGCUUAAAAUUUAACUGAGAGCAUUGCUUGCGUAAACCCAUUCAAAAAGAUGAUGUAAUAGAAUGACAUGAUUGAAACGGGAAUAAAUUCCAACCAAAAAAGCCCCUAAAUCCAGUUUCUCAAAGAGUUUGUAGAUUUAAAAAGAUAGGAUAAGUUUCUGCUUUGUGAACAUCGUGAACGUACACGUAGAGUUCACCAGAAAUAAUUAUUGCCAAGAACUAAUCUAUGAGAAUACAUGGAUGCAAUGGAGCAGAACCGAAAAUCUAAUGAACCAAGACUAAAUCUACGAAUCUAAUAAAGAGAAAGUACCAUCUCAGAUUUGUUACUUGAGGAGAACGGAAAAACUGGGGAGAUUUGGGUAAAUAGACA
Molecule: long non-coding RNA, 2221 nt
Filed under: Capsicum annuum
Lineage: Eukaryota; Viridiplantae; Streptophyta; Magnoliopsida; Solanales; Solanaceae
Description: long non-coding RNA (CANN_LNC010615)
Source: RNAcentral